UUCAUCUUCUCUUCACAAUCCUCUUUGUGAUAAUAUGCAAAGCAACUGCAGAAAAUUUGCGUACUGCUUCAAAGCCGAGUUUCUUAACCACGGCAGGCCCAACAGUAACAAUCGAUCAAACCACACAACGGAUUGAAACACCAACUGCAGAGAAAAGUUCUACUGCAAAUGAUCCAAAGGGAAUAUCUUGCUUUACAUGUUCAAGGAAUAAAGAAA
Long non-coding RNA from Bolinopsis microptera, 216 nucleotides. RefSeq lists it as uncharacterized. The record is from RefSeq and is a predicted model, not a curated record. The transcript has 3 exons. Lineage: Eukaryota; Metazoa; Ctenophora; Tentaculata; Lobata; Bolinopsidae.